GAUGAACGCUAGCUACAGGCUUAACACAUGCAAGUCGAGGGGUAACAAGAGAAAAGCUUGCUUUUCUUGUUGACGACCGGCGCACGGGUGAGUAAAGCGUAUCCAACCUGCCUAUAACUAGGGAAUAACCUUGCGAAAGUAAGACUAAUACCCUAUGAUUUCCUUUGAUGACAUCAGAUUAGUAAUAAAGAUUUAUCGGUUAUAGAUGGGGAUGCGUCUGAUUAGCUUGUUGGCGGGGUAACGGCCCACCAAGGCAACGAUCAGUAGGGGUUCUUAGAGGAAGGACACCCACAUUGGAACUGAGACACGGUCCAACUUCCGACGGGAGGCAGCAGUGAGGAAUAUUGGUCAAUGGGCGGAAGCCUGAACCAGCCAAGUAGCGUGCAGGAUGACGGCCCUAUGGGUUGUAAACUGCUUUUAUACAGGAAUAAAGUUAGCCACGUGUGGUUAUUUGUAGGUACUGUAUGAAUAAGGACCGGCUAAUUCCGUGCCAGCCGCCGCCGUAA
Molecule: ribosomal RNA, 506 nt
Filed under: uncultured bacterium
Lineage: Bacteria
Description: partial 16S ribosomal RNA
Rfam family: Bacterial small subunit ribosomal RNA
Source: RNAcentral